Molecule: ribosomal RNA, 982 nt
Filed under: human gut metagenome
Description: bacterial LSU rRNA
Rfam family: Bacterial large subunit ribosomal RNA
Source: RNAcentral
AUAACGGUCCUAAGGUAGCGAAAUUCCUUGUCAGGUAAGUUCUGACCCGCACGAAAGGUGUAACGAUUUGGGCGCUGUCUCGGCAGCAGACUCGGUGAAAUCUUAGUACCUGUGAAAAUGCAGGUUACCCGCAACUAGACGGAAAGACCCCAUGGAGCUUUACUGCAGCCUGAUAUUGAAUUCUGGUCAUACAUGUACAGGAUAGGUGGGAGACAAAGAGACGUGCACGCCAGUGUACGAGGAGUCGGCGUUGGGAUACCACUCUUGUGUGACCGGGGUUCUAACCUGGUAUCGAGAACAGGUACGGGGAGAGUGUCAGGUGGGCAGUUUGACUGGGGCGGUCGCCUCCCAAAGAGUAACGGAGGCGCCCAAAGGUACGCUCAGAUUGGAUGGAAACCAAUCGACGAGUGCAAUUGCAGAAGCGUGCUUGACUGUGAGACUUACAAGUCGAACAGGGACGAAAGUCGGGAAUAGUGAUCCGGCGGUGCCGAAUGGAAGGGCCGUCGCUCAACGGAUAAAAGCUACCCUGGGGAUAACAGGCUGAUCUCGCCCAAGAGUUCACAUCGACGGCGAGGUUUGGCACCUCGAUGUCGGCUCAUCGCAUCCUGGAGCUGGAUUCGGUUCCAAGGGUUGGGCUGUCCGCCCAUUAAAGCGGUACGCGAGCUGGGUUCAGAACGUCGUGAGACAGUUCGGUCCCUAUCUGUUGUGGGCGAAGGAGAUCUGCGGAGAGCUGUCCUCAGUACGAGAGGACCGGGAUGGACCUACCGCUGGUGCACCGGUUGUUCCGCCAGGGGCAUAGCCGGGUAGCUAAGUAGGGAAAGGAUAAGCGCUGAAAGCAUCUAAGCACGAAGCCUACUCCAAGAUGAGAUCUCCCAUUCGCAAGAAGUAAGACCCCUUAAAGACGAUAAGGUAGAUAGGCCAGGGAUGGAAGUGCAGUGAUGUACGGAGUUGACUGGUACUAAUCGGUCGAGGACUUAAUCAG